GAUCAUGGCUCAGAUUGAACGCUGGCGGCAGGCUUAACACAUGCAAGUCGAACGGUAACAUAAAGAAGCUUGCUUCUUUGAUGACGAGUGGCGGACGGGUGAGUAAUGCUUGGGAAUCUAGCUUAUGGAGGGGGAUAACUACGGGAAACUGUAGCUAAUACCGCGUAAUAUCGAAAGAUUAAAGUGUGGGACCUUCGGGCCGCAUGCCAUAAGAUGAGCCCAAGUGGGAUUAGGUAGUUGGUGAGGG
Molecule: ribosomal RNA, 247 nt
Filed under: uncultured bacterium
Lineage: Bacteria
Description: partial 16S ribosomal RNA
Rfam family: Bacterial small subunit ribosomal RNA
Source: RNAcentral